GACGAACGCUGGCGGCGUGCCUAAUACAUGCAAGUAGAACGCUGAAGGAGGAGCUUGCUUCUCUGGAUGAGUUGCGAACGGGUGAGUAACGCGUAGGUAACCUGCCUGGUAGCGGGGGAUAACUAUUGGAAACGAUAGCUAAUACCGCAUAAGAGUAGAUGUUGCAUGACAUUUGCUUAAAAGGUGCAAUUGCAUCACUACCAGAUGGACCUGCGUUGUAUUAGCUAGUUGGUGAGGUAACGGCUCACCAAGGCAACGAUACAUAGCCGACCUGAGAGGGUGAUCGGCCACACUGGGACUGAGACACGGCCCAGACUCCUACGGGAGGCAGCAGUAGGGAAUCUUCGGCAAUGGACGGAAGUCUGACCGAGCAACGCCGCGUGAGUGAAGAAGGGUUUCGGAUCGUAAAGCUCGGUUGUAAGAGAAGAACGAGUGUGAGAGUGGAAAGUUCACACUGUGACGGUAUCUUACCAGAAAGGGACGGCUAACUACGUG
RNAcentral lists this ribosomal RNA (495 nucleotides) under uncultured bacterium. RNAcentral describes it as "partial 16S ribosomal RNA". It matches the Rfam family "Bacterial small subunit ribosomal RNA", at positions 28 to 507 of the family's 1533-position model. The record is from RNAcentral.